This is a long non-coding RNA of Astyanax mexicanus (Mexican tetra), 2450 nucleotides long. RefSeq lists it as uncharacterized. The record is from RefSeq and is a predicted model, not a curated record. The transcript is spliced from 8 exons. NCBI's taxonomy places the organism in Eukaryota, Metazoa, Chordata, Actinopteri, Characiformes, Acestrorhamphidae.
AGAAUAAUGAUUAAUAGUGUGUAAAAGAGAAUAUUUUCCUGCAUGAGAAUACUUUUACCCACAGCCAAACCUGCUCGGAGGCCCCUCUCUCACACACACACACACACACACACACACAUACAGGCACGUACACGCGCACAGACACACACACACACACACAGUCACGGUCCUGCUCACACACCCGCCAGCCCCCCUUAACCAAACAUUCAGUCUCUUGACUUCACACACACACACACACACACACACACACACACACACACACACACACACACACACACACACACACACACAGUGAGACAUGUUCAGACACAAAAUUAUUUUAUUUAUCCGAGCAACCAAUAAGGAAUAAUUACGUGUAGAUACGUGUACAUACGUAAUAUAACCACGCCCUUUAUUCAAUAAAAGCAGAGAGGUUACGGUACUCUACCAAACAUUCAACAGGCGGUGGUGUUUCUAACGUUACACGGCAAAAGAUCGCAAAACAUGGAUGCUCUUACGAACGCACCAAGAAAGGAAAUCGCAGGGUCUGAAAAGAAUCAUGUAUGGCCGCUAUCAGACGGUCGAUUCUUUGGAUUUCGUUUCCACGAUGAUAUGAAAUGCGUCACUCUGUGUAUCGGUCCAACAGUAAGAUUUGAGGAUGCGACCGUUUUGAUAACUCUUAAUGGAGAGGAAUGGCAUAGCUUCUCAAGACAUUGUUCAGUUUUUAACACCUAUCUCAUUUACAGAAAUUGUUACUGUAAACCGGAUUACCAUGAGAAAUUUAAUUUAACAUGGACACCCUAUAUACAAACCGGAACAAUGUUGCGUUCAUUCAAUCUAUAUCCGUAUUUAAAUGCCAAAUCGUACAAUGCCAGACUUACAAUUGUUCACGAAGUUACAAGUUUAUUAAAACAAAACAAUUUUUUUGAACAGGAAUGUAAAAUUGAAUUACAAAAUGAUGACUUCAACGCAAUGCAGACGUACUUUGCAAUAAUAGACCGUAUGUUCAUUGAGAGCAUCGUUGAAAAACAUUAAAUCUGAUACAGAAUUUCUGAGCUUCCGAAUGCGUUAUCAUCAGUAAAAACUGAAUAGUUUAGAGUGCAGUGUAUCUUAGUGUUUGAGUCUGUGUCAGCGGCAAGAUUUGUACCACGGCCUGCUGUAUUGUGUUUCUGAUCUUCCAGGACAGCUGCGUGACCAAUUAGUGAUUUCUUACUCAAGACUUGCAUGCGCUUCUCAAUGUAUAUAAACACGGACUUUCAUACGGACACAAACAUUUUCAGAGCUCAAGAAUCUCUUUCGUUGGAAGAUAAUGGAGUCUGGUAAGUUUGCUUUUGGUCUGGAUUGAAUAUAAAUAUUUUUAUUAUUAUUCAUACUGAUGUUAAUAUAGUAUGGUUAUUUAGAAUGUUGCUAGAACGUAAUUAGAAUGUCAAAUAUAAUACAAUGUUUUUAAACCAAAUUAUAUUAUAGUAAUGUUUCGUUCUAUUCUUUUAAAAUAGGUAACAUUCAGAAAUGUUUUUAAUAGUUAUGUAAUAAUUCAACAUUCAGCAACUAUCAAUGCAACGAAACACCAGGGGUCAAUUAUAUCCAAAAACCUCCAACUCCAUACGAACUGACUGCUGAAACAAGAAGCAGCAGUCCCAUUUACAUCACUGAUACUCCACCCAAUAGCUCCACAAUUCCAGGGUGUGAUUCUCCUGCGUAUGCCAAUAACGGUAAUCAAUCUCCAUACAAUGUAAUCCUGAACUCUCCAUCCUACUCCCCAACAAUCCCUAAUCGUGAAUCUGAUCAACAAUCCCCUGCGAAAGGUUAUCAGUACAGCCAUAAUGACACGCUUUCCGAUUCCGAUGUUAACGCCAAUGAUGAUCUGAGGGACGAUCUACGCGAUCUACGCCACCUUCACAAGUCUGUGUCUUUGACGUUCAAGAAACUCAUGCGCGUGAAAACACACGGGUCAAGAGUUCAAAGUAAGCAUGUUCAUGCAUUGUGUAAGAAACGUGUGAGCCUUUAUAUGAAUCAAUGUACUACCCUACUCAAUAAACACCAUGUCUAGGAAAAGGUGUGAUAAUUGUUUUAAUGUUGAAGCCAAGAGGUGUAAAAUCAGACAGGAAUCUGAAUAUGCCCCCAUCACAUCCGAUCAUUUAACUUGUGAAUGUGUAUCAGAUACAGAACUUACACUCAACUUACAGCAUGACCAUUUCCAUCAGUUAAACCAAAGUUUAGAUAGACUACGGAAUGAAUGUAAUCCUUCUGUAAUAGACGCUGUUAAUCGGCUUAACGAAAGUUUAGCUUUAACGCCCGACCUCAAUAAUGUUACGGAACAAUCUGUAACAACGCCUCAAAAUGUAACGCAAGAGUCAAACAUAGAUUUGUUUCACAAUCUAAACCAAAGUUUAGAUAGACUUCGGAAUGAAUGUAAUCCUUCUCUAUUAGACGCUGUUAAUCGGCUUAACGAAAGUUUAGCUUUAACGCCC